GAUGAAGAACGCAGCGAAAUGCGAUACUUGGUGUGAAUUGCAGAAUCCCGUGAACCAUCGAGUUUUUGAACGCAAGUUGCGCCCGAAGCCAUUAGGUUGAGGGCACGUCUGCCUGGGCGUCACAUAUCGUUGCCUGAUGCCAGUUUCCUCGUGAUGGGUGACUGUGCAGGGCGAAUGAUGGCUUCCCGUGAGCAUUGUUGCCUCAUGGUUGGUUGAAAAUUGAGUCCUUGGUAGGGAGCGCCGUGAUAGAUGGUGGUUGAGUGACGAACGAGACCCAAUCAUGUGAGACCCCUACCGAAUUUGGCCUUCAUGACCCACAUGCGUCUUUGGAACGCUCAUGACGAGACCUCAGGUCAGGCGGGGCUACCCGCUGAGUUUAAGCAUAUCAAUAAGCGGAGGA
RNAcentral lists this unclassified non-coding RNA (400 nucleotides) under soil metagenome. RNAcentral describes it as "partial contains 5.8S ribosomal RNA, internal transcribed spacer 2, and large subunit ribosomal RNA". The stretch from base 1 to 122 matches the Rfam family "5.8S ribosomal RNA", at positions 35 to 154 of the family's 154-position model. The record is from RNAcentral.